RNAcentral lists this ribosomal RNA (252 nucleotides) under uncultured bacterium. Its description in RNAcentral is "partial 16S ribosomal RNA". It matches the Rfam family "Bacterial small subunit ribosomal RNA", at positions 525 to 776 of the family's 1533-position model. The record is from RNAcentral.
ACGGAGGGUGCAAGCGUUGCUCGGAAUUACUGGGCGUAAAGCGUACGCAGGCGGCGCAGUAGGUCGGGUGUGAAAGCCCAGGGCUCAACCCUGGAACUGCAUUCGAAACCCCUGUGCUUGAAUACGGGAGAGGAGAGCGGAAUUCCUGGUGUAGAGGUGAAAUUCGUAGAUAUCAGGAGGAACACCAGUGGCGAAAGCGGCUCUCUGGCCCGAUAUUGACGCUCAUGUACGAAAGCGUGGGGAGCAAACAGG